UUUUAAAUUUUAUUAGGAAACAUUUAGAAGUUUGAUUAUAACAAAACAUUAAGUCUAUCACAAUUUUAACAAUUACAAAAUUAAUCUUUACAUGGUAUAAAACAUACAAUUAUGCAAGAAAUGCUCUCAAUAUUAGAUAGCACCAUAUCUUAAUAAUCUUUUAAAGGCCACACCUAAUUAUUUUCGUAUGCAUUAUCCUAGCAUUAGUCUGAUUAUAGCAAGUCUAAUUAAUAUUGUAUUUUUUUUUUAUUUUAAAAAAAUUCAGUAACUUUCACCUUUUUUUGGCAUAUAUCUAUUCUAGGAACAACAAGUUUAUUUGGUGUGACCUCACUAUAAAUGUAGUUAUGUACAGUUAUAAAAUAGGUGCACACAUAUAAAUAAGCCGUCGGCAGAUGACAGGAGAUCUGAGGUUAUUAUGAAUGAGACAUCAACCUAACAACAAAAAAAUCCUUAAGAGGUUAAUAUUUGACAUUAUUUGCACCAAUUGUAUCAAGUUGUUUUGAUUGGAUAAUUCAUUGAUGGUGUUUAACACUACUUUCAACACUAUUGGCUUUUUAAUGGUGGCCAGUUUUAUUGGUGGAAAAAGGGGGAGUGCACUGUGAGAUCCAUCGCUCUUCAGCAUAAAAAAUUACAAUCUAAGUCAAUUAAUAUAUGAGUCAAAUGUAUCUGCCAUGUGUGGGGUUGGAACUCACAAUCUCAGUCAUGCAGUCUGUUACAGUAGUUAUACAGUAGCUGGAAAGUUUGGACCACUCGGCCAGCAAGAUGCCUAAGUUGUAUUCAACUACCAUAUUUAGCUGUGUAUAGUCAUGAUUGUAUGCAGUUGUUUAUAACAUGCAUCCCCUUUAUGUCCCUCCAAAAUCAUGACUUUUUUUUACACACAGCAAGGACGCAAGUCUAACACAUUUAGCGUGAGACUCUCGCAUGUUCACUCUUUUU
Molecule: long non-coding RNA, 936 nt
Filed under: Mytilus galloprovincialis (Mediterranean mussel)
Lineage: Eukaryota; Metazoa; Mollusca; Bivalvia; Mytilida; Mytilidae
Source: RNAcentral